RNAcentral lists this ribosomal RNA (439 nucleotides) under uncultured bacterium. Its description in RNAcentral is "partial 16S ribosomal RNA". It matches the Rfam family "Bacterial small subunit ribosomal RNA", at positions 338 to 795 of the family's 1533-position model. The record is from RNAcentral.
CCUACGGGAGGCAGCAGUGGGGGAUAUUGCACAAUGGAGGAAACUCUGAUGCAGCGACGCCGCGUGAGGGAAGACGGUCUUCGGAUUGUAAAACUCUGUCUUUGGGGAAGAAAAUGACGGUACCCAAAGAGGAAGCCCCGGCAAACUACGUGCCAGCUGCCGCGGUACUACGUCGGGAGCGAGCGUUGUCCGGAAUUACUGGGGGUAAAGGGGGCGUAGGCGGGCGAGAAAGUUGAAUGUUAAAUCUGCCGGUUUAACUGGUAGCUGCGUUCAAAACUUGUUGUCUUGAGUGAAGUAGAGGCAGGCGGAAUUCGUAGUGUAGCGGUGAAAUGCGUAGAUAUUAGGAAGAACACCAGUGGCGAAGGCAGCCUGCUGGGCUUUAACUGACGCUGAGGCUCGAAAGCGUGGGGAGCAAACAGGAUUAGAUACCCGAGUAGUC